RNAcentral lists this ribosomal RNA (75 nucleotides) under Pelobates cultripes (western spadefoot toad). RNAcentral describes it as "SSU_rRNA_eukarya". It matches the Rfam family "Eukaryotic small subunit ribosomal RNA", at positions 311 to 385 of the family's 1831-position model. Lineage: Eukaryota; Metazoa; Chordata; Amphibia; Anura; Pelobatidae. The record is from RNAcentral.
CCUAUCAACUUUCGAUGGUACUUUCUGCGCCUACCAUGGUGACCACGGGUAAUGGGGAAUUGGGGUUCGAUUCCG